CACCGGCAGCUCAAGUGGUGGCCGUUUUUAUUGGGCCUAAAGCGUUCGUAGCCGGCCUGAUAAGUCUCUGGUGAAAUCCCAUAGCUUAACUGUGGGAAUUGCUGGAGAUACUAUUAGGCUUGAGAUCGGGAGAGGUUAGGGGUACUCCCAGGGUAGGGGUGAAAUCCUAUAAUCCUGGGAGGACCACCUGUGGCGAAGGCGCCUAACUGGAACGAAUCUGACGGUGAGUAACGAAAGCCAGGGGCGCGAACCGG
RNAcentral lists this ribosomal RNA (254 nucleotides) under uncultured bacterium. RNAcentral's name for it is "partial 16S ribosomal RNA". It matches the Rfam family "Archaeal small subunit ribosomal RNA", at positions 474 to 727 of the family's 1478-position model. The record is from RNAcentral.